RNAcentral lists this ribosomal RNA (163 nucleotides) under Camellia petelotii. Its description in RNAcentral is "5.8S ribosomal RNA". It matches the Rfam family "5.8S ribosomal RNA". From Rfam's summary of the family: 5.8S ribosomal RNA (5.8S rRNA) is a component of the large subunit of the eukaryotic ribosome. It is transcribed by RNA polymerase I as part of the 45S precursor that also contains 18S and 28S rRNA. Functionally, it is thought that 5.8S rRNA may be involved in ribosome translocation. RNAcentral also lists the same sequence under 2 other names. Lineage: Eukaryota; Viridiplantae; Streptophyta; Magnoliopsida; Ericales; Theaceae. The record is from RNAcentral.
AAACGACUCUCGGCAACGGAUAUCUCGGCUCUCGCAUCGAUGAAGAACGUAGCGAAAUGCGAUACUUGGUGUGAAUUGCAGAAUCCCGCGAACCAUCGAGUCUUUGAACGCAAGUUGCGCCCGAAGCCAUUAGGUUGAGGGCACGUCUGCCUGGGCGUCUCAC